AAUUUUCCAAGGAAUUAUGAAAGAAAGACGCUAUUGAUUAGAAUAUCAAGAGACAAGCAUAAACUGUGCAUAACGAGUUUGGUAAACAAUAUAAAAGGGGUCGAAAGAAGAAGGGUUGCUGCCCUUGGGAUAAAAGGGGUUCGCGGUCUGACCCGACAGAUACUUUGACGUCUUUCUCCAUAAAACACAAUGUUAAUUAACGAACAGGAGACGCCCUCUCGCGGAGAUCCCUGGCUACAUUCGCGAUUCUCAAUCAACGACGGUAUUCAUGAGCCUACCACGACGCUCAGACGCACGACUAAAUUAUGCAAACUAAGUAUAGAACGUUUUAUGAACGAAAAUAUCAAGAUGCCUUUGCGAAACGGUUUUUCACUGUCUCUACUAAAUGUACACUGUUUGUUCGAGUUUGAAAAGAAAUUUGGUUUUACAAAUUGGUUUUGCUUCGAUCGUUGAAUACGAUUAUCGAUGCAGAGAAAUUUUGAUCAUUUCAGAGAACUCGUCCAGAUAGAAUCAUUUUGUUCGAGUUAACCAUCGUAAUAGUCUAUAUGUAUAUCGACAACUCGAUACCAGGAAAAGUAGUUGGAAAAUACAGGUUAGGAAUUGGGUUGACACAGAUGAAUAAUAUAUCUUGAUGAUUUCAUUUCUCGUUUUGCUUCGAAGAAUUUUGUUUCAGGAGAAUUUCGAUCAGGAUCAAGAGACAUGGACACACGUGAAUUUCAUCAUAAAUUGGCAAGAUGUUCAAGAAGUCUAUAAUUAACGCGAUUAAUUGGCAAAACUGGAUGCAUAACGUACAUCUUAUCCCAUGUAAUCGUUUUGUCAAGAGGAACAAAGACAGAGAAAUCUCAAAAUGAAGCUCGUACAAAGCGAAGGACGUACACGAUAAUUUCACCCGUAUGCGCAAUCUUAUCCAUGAUAUCGACGUCUCCGUACAGGUGAAUUCACUCUGAUUACAGAUUCAGCCAACCUGAAAAUUACGCGGUCGAUUCUCCGUGACGAGCAAGAGAAUGAGAGAGAGAGAGAUAGAGAGAGAGAAAAGAAGGUGAUGAAGUCGAAUCAGGUAUUCAUGAGAAAGAGAGAGAUUGAUAAACAACAUCACGUAAUUUCGCUUAUAAGAUCAAAUUACAGUCGGCGUCGAAUUAAAGACCGUUCAUUUUCUGCCUGUUUAUUCGCGAUUCAUUCGUAAAAUGUGUAUUAUAGUCUUGAAUCGAACCGAUUUACGUCGAUUCGCGUCAUGUUUUUAAUGCUAUAACUUGAACGAGCGUCGUUUAAGGUGGAAUUACUAAAAGGAAAAUAAGAUCUUGCACUCUCUUCGAUUAACGCGAUCAAUAAUUCUUAUUAGGAAUUUUGAGGAAUUCAUUCGGAAAUUGAAACGUUUUUGUUUUUCAAUAAAAUUUUUUAUAUAGAUAUAAUAUAGAGAUAGUUUUAUAUUAUUG
Long non-coding RNA from Apis dorsata (giant honeybee), 1433 nucleotides. RefSeq lists it as uncharacterized. NCBI's taxonomy places the organism in Eukaryota, Metazoa, Arthropoda, Insecta, Hymenoptera, Apidae. The transcript has 3 exons. The record is from RefSeq and is a predicted model, not a curated record.